Long non-coding RNA from Bos taurus (domestic cattle), 3638 nucleotides. The record is from Ensembl. Lineage: Eukaryota; Metazoa; Chordata; Mammalia; Artiodactyla; Bovidae.
ACUGGAAUGGCCCCUAAGGAUAAAUACUAAACUUACACAUUAAAUUCCUAUUAAUAACUUUGCAGAUAAUAUCCUGCUAGAAACCACUCUGGUUCUGUAUUUGCUUUUCAGGGUGCAAGGGUUGGAGGGGAGGGUGGAAAUGGGAAAUCAUGGGUUUGUUAUGAAAUUAGAGCCUACCAUUGGCAUCAAGGUGUGGAGGGGGGCUCCUGUUUAGACCCCCACCUCCACCCAGGAUAUCAGAAUUCCCAGAAGGGAGCUGAGGAAACAUGUAAGUUGUAUCCUUCUGGAUAGGAGUUCCAGGAGGGCCUUGUAAGGCCAAGAACAGCUGCUCUAAACAGAGUCAGACUGCUUCAUCUCCAAGAGCUGGAAAGAGGGACCAGAGGAAACUGUAGCCCGGAGAAGGGGCCCCAAGUGUGUCUUGCCUGAAACCACACAGCUGGGUGCUGGCAGGUUCUAGGCUAGAUGCCAGGAUUCCUUGCAAUCUAGACCAGGGAUCUCUCCAGUAACGACCCCAGCCUUGAAUCCUCUACUGACUGGCUUUGAGGAUGGGGGAUUUGCAUCCUGCUGCCAGCUCUGAGACUCACUCCCAGUCUUGGGUCAGUGUCCAGGUUUGCAGACACCAAUGCAAAGGAGGACUGGCGUGUGCAGCUUAUAGGAAUUCAGGAGCCACCUGUUAGCGGGCACCUCUGUCGUGCCAGGCACCAUACUAGGCUUCUGGGCAUCUGGCACAGCACACACGAUUUUAUUUGUUCUUCACCCAAAUACUACAAUGAGAAUCUUCCUGUUUCCACGGUCAUGAGAAGGAGCUCAGCAACACAUUCAGCAUCAGUCAGCGGAAAAGUGUUGGAGCUGGGUUUAAUGCUGAUUCUCUUCGGUUACCUUGCACAUGAGAAUCUUAAAAGAGAAACCAAGUCCCGACACCUCUCCAAGGUUUAGGAAAAGCUAUUAGGGACGAGGCUGGACUGGGACAUCUGUCCACUUGGGAGAAACAGGGCUGCCCUGUGGGGAACCCUAUGUCCCGUGGCUGCUCUGCCCUAGGGUUAGGGUGCUGUGUUGUGGGAGGGUACUAAGUGGCCCUGGCUCCAGGGCUAAGAGGGCCUCUCCUUCUCUUGGUUCCGGGAGCCGUGACUUCACUGUGUGCUACCAGCUGUGGUGAGCAGUAGGGAGAGUCCAGUCCAGUCCUGAGUGCAACCCCCAGAUGGUUGAUCCCGGAGGCCAGGUGCACGAUGGAUGUCUGUAGUUACCAGAGCCUGGCAUUUGGGGGCUCUUGAAUGCAACUCACUAAGGUGAUACUGGAAAGUCUCUCGAGUGCCUUGAGGUUGGUUGUUGGGCAUCUGAGGAGGAGCGCUCAGCCUUAGGAGCAGACAGUCUGGCCUCUGCAGACAUCCUCUGUUCACCCAGGAAGGGGCUGGGCCACCACACUGCAUCCUUCUGCCUGGCCGUCCCCUCCGCCCCUCCUCCACCUUAUAUAAUGGCACAUUAUACAACAUUGCAAAGCAGGUGGUAUUUUUAAAGACAGCAAGUGAGCAUUUUUUUGGCCUAAAUUUGGGAAUGAAACAGAUGGAUUUUUAAGACUCUGAGCUUUUCCUAUGAAUAGUAACCCUUGUUCUCCUCUGCUUUUAAACACCAGUUUCAAGACCACCUCUAGCAACCAAUCAGCACUCUAUUUAAUUAUAACAAAAUUCUUAGCUCUGUCUGCUGCUGCUCGGACAAGUGGGGGGCACUGGAUCAAUUUCUGGAGCCAGGCAGACUUGCCAACAACAAUUUUCUUUUUCCCAGAGGGCCUCGGAGGCCGGCAGCAGGUUCCAAGCCCUUCCUCUCCUGCCCGCUCGGCGUGGGCUCCUUGACAGCGAGUUUGAAAAGGGUUACAGAGAGGCAGAUAAAUGCCCGGCUUGUUGCAGCCUUCCUGACAGCGCCGACCCCCGCGCCAGUGAGCUCAUGCCCGCCUCAUUACGCGUGGUGCCAGAUUUUUUCCAUUAACAGGUAAUUGAGUAGAAACUAAAAUAAGCGAAGUUUGUUCAUCCCUUGGAUUUUCUUGCCGGGGUUUGAAAGAAAAACACUUUAGCUUCGUUAGUGGAGGAGUGUCCUUGAAAACGUAUUUAUGUUUUCCAAGUGAUUUGUCGCUUGGUAGGUGUAAUGAGCCCGUUCCCCUGGCCUCUCCCUUCUUGUUUUUCUUCUUUAAGGGCCAUGAUGUUCAGAGAAUAGGAGCUGGUUUCCUGGGCCCCUGGCUGUCUGUAUGCUCUGUUCAUGGUAGAGAGCUUAUUUUUCUCUCUUCUCUCUCCCUAUUGCACUCGCAUGGUGUGCGUGCACACACACCCUGGAAAAUCACCCAUAGAAGCCUGUUGAUGGAUCACACAGUCUUAGCCUGCAACCUACAGGGCCCAGCUGUCAGGUGCCCUCAGGACGACUGGCCCCGCCCCCAGGGGCCCCAGGCUGGCCCCGCCCCCAAGCGUCCCAGGCCAGCCCCGCCCCCGUCUCCGUGCCCUGCGCCUGCGCGCAGGUGCUCCAGGUGGAUGGCCUGCCCCUCUGAGGGGCAUUCAGAAGCAAAGCGAGGAACAGAUGUGUGAGCCCUGAGGUCUCCAGUCUUCCUGUUUCCCAUCUUGCUGGGCUCCUAUCUCAGCUGGUCUGUUUUCAGCUUCAUGAAGAAGAUUCCUCAUCACUGCCCAGCCCCAAGUUCUCCGUUAGGGUUGGAGCUUCGGAUGAGAUGUGUGUGUGUGUUUGGUACUUGAAAUACAGAGAAAGAGAGAUUGUUCACCCCUCUACACACCUGACAUAGAGGUCUUUGUGAAGGAAAGACAGCUCCAGAAACUUGCGACUUUCGGCUUGAAAACUUAGCUUGCAAGCCUUAGUUCAUUGGCCGUCAAGUGGAAUUAAGACACUGAGCCUGUUUCCGGGAAGCCCAGUGAGAUGGAAAUGCUUGGGCCAGCGACGGACACGUGGAGUCUGUUCCAUGAACACGGGUUGUCAUUACUGCUCCUGUUGCCCUGUGCUGUCUGGGGCAGGAGAGAGAAGGACCCUGACCAAGGGCAGUGUUCUAGGACGAGAAGACCAUGGCCCACAUGAUAUGCUUUUGGAAGGCCGCAAGACUCAAAUUUGCACAGUGCCCCCAAGGCCUAGACCCGUGCCAUGGAAUUGUUCAGGGUGGCCCUGAAGACAUUUCAGUCUCCCCAGACCCCUGUUCAAGCGCAGACACCCCAGGGGAGGGCUGAUGGCUUCAGCCCUCUCAGCUGAGGCCCAGAGAGAGAGAGGCCUUGGGAGGACACAGGUGGGCUCAAGGGCAGGUGAUGUCCCCAGAGCCUGAAACUUGGCCUCUGGCCCCCAUUCCUGAGCCCAGCAUGCAGAUCCACUUUUUUGGCCUUGAAUUAUCCUGGCUAAAGGCAGACAUUGGAAAAGAUUAUUUAUAAAAAGGUCUUGGAACGAGAAAUGAUUUCUAUUUUGCUAAUGCGAUAUUUUUGAGUGAGAAACAGAAAAGAGGGGAUGAAUGGGUGAGGGAGUGAAUGAAGGGCAAGAAACUCAGAAGCUCUUGUAGAUUCAUACAGUUUGUCUUCAAAUCCACCCACCAUUCCAUCUCCUCUUCCUCUUGUUUCAGAGGGACAGUAACUGAGUCUAGUGACCAAGGAGCUGGGCCAGACCACUUC